RNAcentral lists this ribosomal RNA (800 nucleotides) under uncultured bacterium. RNAcentral's name for it is "bacterial SSU rRNA". It matches the Rfam family "Bacterial small subunit ribosomal RNA", at positions 8 to 799 of the family's 1533-position model. The record is from RNAcentral.
AGAGUUUGAUCAUGGCUCAGAUUGAACGCUGGCGGCAUGCCUUACACAUGCAAGUCGAACGGCAGCAUGAUCUAGCUUGCUAGAUUGAUGGCGAGUGGCGAACGGGUGAGUAAUACAUCGGAACGUGCCCUGUAGUGGGGGAUAACUAGUCGAAAGAUUAGCUAAUACCGCAUACGACCUGAGGGUGAAAGUGGGGGACCGCAAGGCCUCAUGCUAUAGGAGCGGCCGAUGUCUGAUUAGCUAGUUGGUGAGGUAAAGGCUCACCAAGGCGACGAUCAGUAGCUGGUCUGAGAGGACGAUCAGCCACACUGGGACUGAGACACGGCCCAGACUCCUACGGGAGGCAGCAGUGGGGAAUUUUGGACAAUGGGGGCAACCCUGAUCCAGCAAUGCCGCGUGUGUGAAGAAGGCCUUCGGGUUGUAAAGCACUUUUGUCCGGAAAGAAAUCGCACUUACUAAUAUUAGGUGUGGAUGACGGUACCGGAAGAAUAAGGACCGGCUAACUACGUGCCAGCAGCCGCGGUAAUACGUAGGGUCCAAGCGUUAAUCGGAAUUACUGGGCGUAAAGCGUGCGCAGGCGGUUGUGCAAGACCGAUGUGAAAUCCCCGGGCUUAACCUGGGAAUUGCAUUGGUGACUGCACGGCUAGAGUGUGUCAGAGGGGGGUAGAAUUCCACGUGUAGCAGUGAAAUGCGUAGAGAUGUGGAGGAAUACCGAUGGCGAAGGCAGCCCCCUGGGAUAACACUGACGCUCAUGCACGAAAGCGUGGAGCAAACAGGAUUAGAUACCCUGGUAGUCCACG